This 253-nucleotide ribosomal RNA is filed under the name uncultured bacterium. Its description in RNAcentral is "partial 16S ribosomal RNA". It matches the Rfam family "Bacterial small subunit ribosomal RNA", at positions 524 to 776 of the family's 1533-position model. The record is from RNAcentral.
UACGUAGGGUGCAAGCGUUAAUCGGAAUUACUGGGCGUAAAGCGCACGUAGGUGGUUUGGCAAGUUGGAUGUGAAAGCCCCGGGCUUAACCUGGGAACUGCAUUCAAUACUACCAAGCUAGAGUAGAGUAGAGGGAAGUGGAAUUUCCGGUGUAGCGGUGAAAUGCGUAGAUAUCGGAAGGAACAUCAGUGGCGAAGGCGGCUUCCUGGACUCAUACUGACACUGAGGUGCGAAAGCGUGGGGAGCAAACAGG